Molecule: long non-coding RNA, 436 nt
Organism: Mauremys reevesii (Reeves's turtle)
Lineage: Eukaryota; Metazoa; Chordata; Testudines; Geoemydidae
Exons: 3
Source: RefSeq, a predicted model, not a curated record
GUUUCCCAGCCUGUCGAACUGCAAUGGCAUAAGGUAUGAGGAUCCAAGUCCUUUGGGUGGAAAAUUAAGAGCUAGAUCCACCUAGAAUCAAAGGAAUUCUCCUGAUUUACACUAGCUGCAGAACUGUCCCCAAAUAUAAACUGCAUCCGACAGAGAUUGAGCAACUUUUGAGAAGGACAGUGCUCCAGCUGCCCCAGAAGCAAAACCCCACUGCAUAGUGCUCAGGUGGAAAACUGACAGAUUAGUGAUCAAAGUACCGAAUUUACCUACAAAGAAGCCUGUUGGCUGGCUCAAAAGACAUUAUCCCUUGAACACUUACUUGCCUAUAUUCAAACAAACAGUCUUUCUUCAGUCACAAAAUCAGAUCAAAACAAAGAGAAAAGGGAAAAAGGGAAGUGUGGGAAAAUAGUAAAGACAAUGGCAACUAUAGAAGUGA